UAUGUUAGUUGGAAGGAUCAGGCUCGAGGC
RNAcentral lists this non-coding RNA (30 nucleotides) under Homo sapiens (human). Lineage: Eukaryota; Metazoa; Chordata; Mammalia; Primates; Hominidae. The record is from RNAcentral.